UAAAUUCUAAUAUGGCAGAUUAGUGUAAUAGAUUUAAACCCUAUAAAUGUAAUUUAUAAUUACUAUUAGAA
This 71-nucleotide transfer RNA is filed under the name Ceratosolen sp. 'kaironkensis'. RNAcentral's name for it is "tRNA-Leu". It matches the Rfam family "tRNA". Rfam says of the family: Transfer RNA (tRNA) molecules are approximately 80 nucleotides in length. Lineage: Eukaryota; Metazoa; Arthropoda; Insecta; Hymenoptera; Agaonidae. The record is from RNAcentral.